This 19-nucleotide small RNA is filed under the name Arabidopsis thaliana (thale cress). Its description in RNAcentral is "snRNA_17568". The record is from RNAcentral. Lineage: Eukaryota; Viridiplantae; Streptophyta; Magnoliopsida; Brassicales; Brassicaceae.
CGAUCCUUUAGACCUUCGG